UGGCUCAGGAUGAACGCUGGCGGCGUGCUUAACACAUGCAAGUCGAACGAAGCACCUCUAAUCGAAGAUUGAGAAAGCUUGCUUUGAUUGAUUCACCUUGAGGUGACUGAGUGGCGGACGGGUGAGUAACGCGUGGGUAACCUACCCUAUACAGGGGGAUAACAGUUGGAAACGACUGCUAAUACCGCAUAAGCGCACAGGACCGCAUGGUCUAGUGUGAAAAAACUCCGGUGGUAUAGGAUGGACCCGCGUCUGAUUAGCUAGUUGGUGAGGUAACGGCUCACCAAGGCGACGAUCAGUAGCCGACCUGAGAGGGUGACCGGCCACAUUGGGACUGAGACACGGCCCAAACUCCUACGGGAGGCAGCAGUGGGGAAUAUUGCACAAUGGGCGAAAGCCUGAUGCAGCGACGCCGCGUGAACGAAGAAGUAUUUCGGUAUGUAAAGUUCUAUCAGCAGGGAAGAAAAAUGACGGUACCUGACUAAGAAGCUCCGGCUAAAUACGUGCCAGCCGCCGC
This 517-nucleotide ribosomal RNA is filed under the name uncultured bacterium. RNAcentral's name for it is "bacterial SSU rRNA". It matches the Rfam family "Bacterial small subunit ribosomal RNA", at positions 20 to 518 of the family's 1533-position model. The record is from RNAcentral.